This 1032-nucleotide long non-coding RNA is filed under the name Anser brachyrhynchus (Pink-footed goose). RNAcentral describes it as "lncRNA (ENSABRG00000022105.1)". The record is from RNAcentral. Lineage: Eukaryota; Metazoa; Chordata; Aves; Anseriformes; Anatidae.
CCUAGCAGCAGUCACUGUAACGCAGUGGAACCGAUCUCAUCUGAAAUUGAAUGCUUGAAGCCUGGGGAUGCCAACACCUCCAGCUUCAAGGAUAGAGGUGCUGGUCAAGAAGGACCAGUUCCCUAAUCCAAAAUUCAUUGCAAUUGUGGAUGAAUAAUUAUUAUCACUCUACUUGGGGAAAAAAGAUAGCAGUUCACUGAAUGUAUUUUUUACUCUUUCCUGUCACCCCCCCCAGUGAAGUUAACGUUUUUUCAUUCACUGUUGGCAAAGAUGAAAGUAUCAUUCAUUAAACACACAAUUAAAUAAGUUUAGUUUAAUUUUCACAGGUUUCUGAGAAGAGAGCCAGAAAUCAAAACUGGAUCCUGUCGCUCCUGAUCAAGUCCUGAUGGAAAGAAGUAAAUGUGUAGCUGAUGUUGCUGUGAGAGAAAGUGAAAUGAAAGGAAGGGACUAAGUUUGAAGCCUGGUCAGCAAAGUCCCUGGGCAGGAGCUCGGAAUGUCCUUAUCUUCUCGGAGAAAUCUACUGCUGGUGCCAGAGCUCUGUGAUUUCUAUCAAAAGAAAAUAAGCGUGAAACAGAAGUUAAAAAUCAUACAUCAAACCCUUCUUUUUGGGUGCUGUUCCUGUGGCUAUGGCAUACACGAUAUCAUGGCCGAACUCCUACCGGCUUUCCUUACAGCCAGUGGAGUGGAGGUUUCUUCGUCGUGACUGUUCCCUAUCGUGAUCUGAGAGAGCUGCGAGACUGUGCCCAGGGUAGCAUCUUGUUUUCAGCCGUGUCCAGCAGUCACCUGCAGGGAGCUGCUUCGACACGGGACAGGCGGCAGUGCAGCACCGGCCUCUUCUGCGGGGUUCAGAACCACAGGCUGAAAGCACCCUGGAAGAGCAGUUCCCUUCAUCUCGCUUUGACUUGCCAGUUCUCUGUCCAGCUCCUCCUCCUUCCACCAUUUCAGCGCCAGCUUGACAAGCUGUCUUUACAGGUUUGGUUAUCACGUUUCCAGGAGGUAGGACGGCUUUCCCCACAGCCAGCCUGGUUAUAA